This 253-nucleotide ribosomal RNA is filed under the name uncultured bacterium. RNAcentral's name for it is "partial 16S ribosomal RNA". It matches the Rfam family "Bacterial small subunit ribosomal RNA", at positions 524 to 776 of the family's 1533-position model. The record is from RNAcentral.
UACGGAGGGGGCGAGCGUUAUUCGGAAUUAUUGGGCGUAAAGGGCGCGUAGGCGGCCCGGUAAGUCAAAGGUGAAAUCCCUCGGCUCAACUGAGGAACUGCCUUUGAAACUGUCGGGCUUGAGGCCGGGAGGGGGUAGCGGAAUUCCCAGUGUAGCGGUGAAAUGCGUAGAUAUUGGGAGGGACACCGGUGGCGAAGGCGGCUACCUGGACCGGUUCUGACGCUGAUGCGCGGAAGCGUGGGUAGCAAACAGG